RNAcentral lists this ribosomal RNA (253 nucleotides) under uncultured bacterium. Its description in RNAcentral is "partial 16S ribosomal RNA". It matches the Rfam family "Bacterial small subunit ribosomal RNA", at positions 524 to 776 of the family's 1533-position model. The record is from RNAcentral.
UACGUAGGGAGCGAGCGUUGUCCGGAUUUAUUGGGCGUAAAGAGCGCGUAGGCGGCUUGGUAAGCCGGAUGUGAAACCCCCGAGCUCAACUCGGGGCGGCCAUUCGGAACUGCCAUGGCUAGAGUCUGGUAGGGGAACACGGAAUUCCUGGUGUAGCGGUGAAAUGCUUAGAUAUCAGGAGGAACACCAGUGGCGAAGGCGGUGUUCUGGGCCAGUACUGACGCUGAGGCGCGAAAGCGUGGGAGCGAACAGG